Molecule: long non-coding RNA, 1093 nt
Filed under: Equus caballus (horse)
Lineage: Eukaryota; Metazoa; Chordata; Mammalia; Perissodactyla; Equidae
Description: lncRNA (ENSECAG00000047334.1)
Source: RNAcentral
GGCUGGGCACAGAGCUGCAGCACUGCUGUGAAAACACCUGAGGACACUCUGGUUCCUGAUCUUUUAGCAGCCUCUCCUGCCUGCCUCAGGCACGCCUGGUGUCGAGUCCCAAGUCUCGCUGUCUCACCCUUCCUUAACCUCCUGAGGUUCUGUUAGCUUAUCUUUUUGCAUACACAUGAGUUAACUUCGUAGACACCACAGUGCAGUAAUUAAGCACACAGUCUCUGGAGCCCAGACAACCUAUUGGAACCCUGGUUUCAUCACUUACUAGCUGAAAAAGUUUGCUGACCCCUGAGCUUCAGGAUGGGGGAAGUUUUAGAGAUUUUAGGAGAAAGAAAAAGUCUCUCCUUGCUAAGGUACAACAAAAAAGGAUAUUCAUAAACCAACGGAGGCAUUCACACAACACAACAGAUGUCUGAGAGAUCCACGCAGCCAUAUGUGUGAAGGUGGGGGACCCCUCCCCAGGAGGCAAAGGAAGAAGGUAAGCAGAUCUCCUCUCCCCAGGGACAGCAAUUUAGGGCACAGGACCUAGCAUGGGAGCCAACGAACAACUCUGAAAGGAGAAGGGGGACAAAGCAGCCCUCCCUGGGAAGAAUUUUGCUCUUGGAGUUGCCUCACAGCCUGUGGGAAUGCUCCAUACUCAGGUGGCUAAGCAACCAUGGGGGCACCCUCACCAAGCCAAGAAGCCCAGGCAGGCAGCCAGUGCGUGCAGAGCAGGAGAACGAGUGGUAAAGAAGGUGCAUGCCCCUCCAUUCCACCUGGCACAACAGCUCAGCCAGUCAGCCAGGGCAGGGGAGCCCUGCCAAAGCACCUGCACCUAUAUGUGUAAAGGAACAGUGGCCAGACAAAGAGAGCAAAAGUGGCACAGCUUCCAAUGGAUGGGCACAAUGGCCAAAGCUCAUGGGGGGCUCAGAAAACACAGCUCCUGCCCCCACCUCCACAGUGGUAGCAGGUGGAAGCUGCAACCAGACACUACAACUAUGCCACAGCAAAAGUCCACUCCAUCAAACAGUAUGAGAAAUAUAUUAACAUUCUAGACCAGAAGGAAAAUGAUAAGGAUCUAGAAACCAUCCUGAAGUCACAGAAAUUUACC